GAAAAACCUUUUGGAAAUAAGACUCUAUUAUGAUUCUUUAAGUUAUUUGCUUGUGGAAACGAUCCCAGAAUACAACAUGGAAGACAUUGUAGGUAUUUUUGGAGGAAUGAUGGGGAUAUUUUUAGGAGCCAGCUUGCUGACAUUGUUAGAACUAGCUGAGUUUGCUAUUCUGUCUAUAGCUAGUGGAAUGAAAAAGUGUUACCAGUCUGUACAAAAAAAAACAAUCUGACCAUGAGUUGUCACACAAUUACUAAAUAUUGCACAUGAAAAAAGCUUUGGAUUUGUGAUUAAGGUUUGUGGGAACUGUCAAAAACAGCUGUCUAAAAUAACUCAUACCUCGUAAUUUGAUGUUUAAGACGUACUAUAAUCUUGGACCUUUUCUGAAAAAGGCGUAUAGCAAAAAUGUGUAAUGCCAAGACAUCAGAAUUGAUUAUCACAUUGAUCUGGAAAAGAAACAAAUUACUCAUCGAAGGAAUUUCGGAUAUUAAAAGGCCUAUGUAAUAUCGACGUUGUAUUUUCAGCAUUUUCUUUGAACUAAUCUGCUUUGAUCUAAAGACUUCAGUAGUAAUUCGAUAUAAUACUUUUGGAAAAAUUUACUUUAGAGCCGUUCCUAAUUUGAUUACUGUACAUAUCAAUUGUAUAUAUAUGUAAAGUGUUGUCAUCAUGGUCAUAUAAAUUGUAUUGGUCAACACCUGGAUAAAAUCAUACAUUGUUCGGUUUAUGAGUAUAAUCUAGUAUUGCUGGAUGGUUUGCAAAUUAUAUAUUAUCUGUCAACUCUUUUAGAGAAAUAAGUGUUUACUGUCUUGUCAAAAUAAACUUAAAAUUAUAAACGUGACAAAAAAACACGACGGUCACUUUCCUAUUGUGAACAUUAUUUUUAAAAUUUGUUUAUGAAAAUAACAGUUUUUGUUUGGCAAUUCUUUUGGACUGUGUACUGUAAAGACAUUGGUCUAUUUUGGAUGACCACAAAUUUAUAAACAAAUGCGUUCUUUAAAAGUUAAAAUAUUUUUUGGGAUUAUCGCUAGAAAUCUUUACAUCCAAAUAACAUAUGUAUAACUGUUUGCUUGUAAUUAUAACAUAAACAUCCCGGUUGCGGAAUUUUUUAUAUCUAUGCACAUGAUAUUCUUGAGUGUCCAGUUAUGCACCUUCACAUAUGGCACUUAUCUGUUCAUGCUUAUUUUUUAUUCAAAUCAUUUAUAAAGUUUUCUAAAUUUC
Mytilus californianus (California mussel) is the source of this 1215-nucleotide long non-coding RNA. RefSeq lists it as uncharacterized. NCBI's taxonomy places the organism in Eukaryota, Metazoa, Mollusca, Bivalvia, Mytilida, Mytilidae. The transcript has 2 exons. The record is from RefSeq and is a predicted model, not a curated record.